AGGUUAAGUGAAUAAGGGCGCACGGUGGAUGCCUUGGCACUAGGAGCCGAUGAAGGACGGGACUAACACCGAUAUGCUUUGGGGAGCUGUAAGUAAGCUAUGAUCCAGAGAUUUCCGAAUGGGGGAACCCAGCAUCUUUUAUAGGAUGUUACACAGUUGUGAAUACAUAGCAGCUGUGAGGUAGACGCAGAGAAUUGAAACAUCUAAGUACCUGCAGGAAGAGAAAGAAAAUUCGAUUCCCUGAGUAGCGGCGAGCGAAACGGGAAAAGCCCAAACCAACAAGCUUGCUUGUUGGGGUUGUAGGACUCCGAUAUGGUAGUUGAAACAGAUAGUCGAAAUACUUGGAAAAGUAUGUCAAAGAGGGUAAAAACCCCGUAGAUGAAAUCUGGCUCACACCUAGGA
Molecule: ribosomal RNA, 402 nt
Filed under: Klebsiella pneumoniae
Lineage: Bacteria; Pseudomonadati; Pseudomonadota; Gammaproteobacteria; Enterobacterales; Enterobacteriaceae
Description: partial 23S ribosomal RNA
Rfam family: Bacterial large subunit ribosomal RNA
Source: RNAcentral